Molecule: ribosomal RNA, 422 nt
Filed under: uncultured bacterium
Lineage: Bacteria
Description: bacterial SSU rRNA
Rfam family: Bacterial small subunit ribosomal RNA
Source: RNAcentral
GAGGAAUAUUGGUCAAUGGGCGCAAGCCUGAACCAGCCAUCCCGCGUGCAGGAAGACGGCGCUAUGCGUUGUAAACUGCUUUUCCAGGGGGAGAAUGAUUUUGAUGUAUCGAGAUUUGACGGUACCCUGGGAAUAAGCAUCGGCUAACUCCGUGCCAGCAGCCGCGGUAAUACGGAGGAUGCGAGCGUUAUCCGGAUUUAUUGGGUUUAAAGGGUGCGUAGGCGGAUUGAUAAGUCAGUGGUGAAACCCUGCAGCUUAACUGUAGGCUUGCCGUUGAUACUGUCAGUCUUGAGUGUGGUCAAGGUAGGCGGAAUGUGUAAUGUAGCGGUGAAAUGCUUAGAUAUUACACAGAACACCGAUUGCGAAGGCAGCUUGCUGGACCAUUACUGACGCUGAUGCACGAAAGCGUGGGGAUCGAACAG